This is a long non-coding RNA of Orcinus orca (killer whale), 1472 nucleotides long. RefSeq lists it as uncharacterized. The record is from RefSeq and is a predicted model, not a curated record. The transcript has 3 exons. NCBI's taxonomy places the organism in Eukaryota, Metazoa, Chordata, Mammalia, Artiodactyla, Delphinidae.
CUACUAUUUUUCACACAGUAAGAAAUCUCAAAGGCAAAAGGAAAGUGUAUGAGUUCUUUGAGUUUGCUGGUAAAGCAAAAACAAAAACUUUAAGGGUUAUUAUGUAUUUUAAACUUUACAUUCAUCAGAGACUUUUAGAUCACUUUAUCAGAAGAUAUCUAUCUCUUGGCAAAAAUAUUGUUCUUAAUUCUCUCAACCAGAAUACAAAAUAUAGAAAAUGUCUAAGCUAUAUCCUCAUUGUUUCCCGUGUAUUAAUUCCACCUACCCAACUAAACUGUGAGCAUCCAGAGGACUUUUCUGGAUUCCCAAAGCACAGCACAAAUCUGAGUACCUGGCACAAUGAAGGCUGAUCUGCAUACAGUAGUGUCCAACUCAACAAGGACAAAGACAACCAGAGCUUUGGUGAGAUAAGCAACAGGAAAAUGAUAAUCAUUGGCCUGAGAUACAAAAUGCAACAGGGGGCAGUUGACAAAGGCAAGGACAAAAAAAGAAUACAAGAGGAUCAAGAAAGAUACAUCACAUACUGCAAGGUUAUAAAAGCAGGAAGCAGGGCUUCCCUGGUGGUGCAGUGGUUAAGAAUCUGCCUGCCAAUGCAGGGGACACGGGUUCAAACCCUGGUCCGGGAAGAUCCCACAUGCUGUGGAGCAACUAAGCCCAUGAGCCACAACUACUGAGCCUGCGCUCUAGAGCCCGCAAGCCACAACUACUGAGCCUGCGAGCCACAGCUACUGAAGCCGGUGCGCCUAGAGCCCAUGCUCUGCAACAAACAGAAGCCACCACAGUGAGAAGCUCGCGCACCGCAAUGAAGAGGAGCCCCCGCUCGCCGCAACUAGAGAAAGCCCACGUGCAGCAACGUAGACCCAAGGCAGCCAAAAAUAAAAAUAAAAUAAUUUAUAUUAAAAAAUUUAUAAAAACAAAGCAAGCAGAAAAAUAUGCAUAAUAUGAGCCCACAUGUGUAAAAAAAGAGAGUAUGUAUAUUCAUAUUAUAUAGAAAAUAUAUGGAAGAAUAUACAUGAAACUAAAUAGACAAUUACCUUCUCUACCAUGUCUUUAUUUUAAUAGCACAUUCAUUUUUUUUGCUAAAAAUUUUUUUAAGGAAAAAGUAUCACAUUUUAGGAUAGUGAAUUUGACAAUGCUAUAAUCAGAGGAAAACACAGAAAACUUCUUACUCUUUUCUGUACCUGUUCUCAAGAAAUGCUCUUACAUUUGCCCCUACAAAAAUACAUCAAAUCAGAAUAUAAUUGUGGUUACAUCACUAUUUCACAAAAGUAACAUGAGACCAAAAAAGAAAAAGCAAUGGAUCCAAUGAAAAACUGCCUGGAGCUGUAAAAUAAAAGCCAGUCAUGAAGGAUGAGAAAAUAAUAAGAAGAAGAAAAAACCCAAACAACUAACCUGACAACCAAGGAACACCAUUAAGUGCCAAAAAGUGAUUUCGAAUCAUAUACUUAAAACUUGAGGUUCAAUUCAAGGAA